CCCAAGUCCUGCCAAGAUGAUAGGAUCAGACCUUGGAUGGGUCAGAGGCUAAGACUGCCCCUAGAAUUUCGGGGUGAGAGAACCUUGGGGAUAGAAAGUCUUUGGAGGUUCAGCUGAACAAAUCCCCAUUGUGUGUGUGUUCCACAUUCUCUUUACACACGCAUAUACUGGUCAGUGUGUUGUCUGAUUGUGUACCUCAGCUGCUAGGAAGAGGGCUGCAAUGGCUAUCAGGCAAACAAGAAGCAAUGUUGCUGGAGGAAACCACGCUCGUGUUAUAUGUGGGCAGUAAAGACUUACUAUCGAAACCACACCGCACCAUAUACAAAAUGAGGCAAGACACGUCGGUGGAAGGAGGGGAUGCUGUCUCCCGCCUGCUGCAGCCCUCUCAGAACACUGGCCCUAAGUAGAAGGGUUAAAGAUUGAGAACUGCAGUAGUGGAAGAAGGUUCUUCUCACUGAGAGUGCAGCCUACUCAGUCAUGUGGAACUGAUGCAACCGUGCUUUGGCUGUAAACAGGUCGGCUCCUAAUGCAGCCUCGCGGACCUUGUUACACUUGGAAAUGACCAGAACCAUACCAUUUCUAUUGCACUAUCAUUGCUUUUGCCCUGAAUCAAAUGAGUUUUCUGACGUGCCCUGGGAUUUCCUGCCUAAAAUUGGAAACAGUCACUAAGAGCAGGCAGAGGACUCCAGAGGGCAAGACCAUUGUCAGGCACAGCAGAGCCGAUAGCUUAGUCCACUUGAGUUGAAGUUUGAGGAGUGGAGACACCGGACACCUUCAUCCUCCUCACUCCCAUUGUGACACACGAUCCUUCUUCCUAACUCGAGGGGCAGCAGCCAGUAGCUCGCUAUCUCAGCUAGGUCACCCUCCCCUCAGCCAC
Non-coding RNA from Peromyscus maniculatus bairdii (prairie deer mouse), 877 nucleotides. The record is from RefSeq and is a predicted model, not a curated record. Lineage: Eukaryota; Metazoa; Chordata; Mammalia; Rodentia; Cricetidae.